UACGUAUGGACCGAGCGUUGUCCGGAAUCAUUGGGCGUAAAGGGUACGUAGGCGGCCUAAUAAGUUAGAAGUGAAAGAAUAUAGCUCAACUAUAUAAAGCUUUUAAAACUGUUAGGCUUGAGAGAUGAAAGGGAAAGUGGAAUUCCUAGUGUAGCGGUGAAAUGCGCAGAUAUUAGGAAGAAUACCGGUGGCGAAGGCGACUUUCUGGUCAUCAUCUGACGCUGAGGUACGAAAGCGUGGGUAGCAAACAGG
RNAcentral lists this ribosomal RNA (252 nucleotides) under uncultured bacterium. RNAcentral's name for it is "partial 16S ribosomal RNA". It matches the Rfam family "Bacterial small subunit ribosomal RNA", at positions 524 to 776 of the family's 1533-position model. The record is from RNAcentral.